This 442-nucleotide ribosomal RNA is filed under the name uncultured bacterium. RNAcentral describes it as "partial 16S ribosomal RNA". It matches the Rfam family "Bacterial small subunit ribosomal RNA", at positions 338 to 795 of the family's 1533-position model. The record is from RNAcentral.
CCUACGGGUGGCUGCAGUGGGGAAUAUUGGGCAAUGGGCGAAAGCCUGACCCAGCAACGCCGCGUGAAGGAAGAAGGCUUUCGGGUUGUAAACUUCUUUUGCCAGGGAAGAGCAGAAGACGGUACCUGUCGAAUAAGCCACGGCUAACUACGUGCCAGCAGCCGCGGUAAUACGUAGGUGGCAAGCGUUGUCCGGAUUUACUGGGGGUAAAGGGCGUGUAGGCGGGCUGACAAGUCAGAUGUGAAAACCGGGGGCUCAACCCCCGAACUGCAUUUGAAACUGUUGGUCUUGAGUGUCGGAGAGGCAAGCGGAAUUCCUGGUGUAGCGGUGAAAUGCGUAGAUAUUAGGAGGAACACCAGUGGCGAAGGCGGAUUACUGGACCGUAACUGACGUUGAGGCGCGAAAGCGUGGGGAGCAAACAGGAUUAGAUACCCGAGUAGUC